RNAcentral lists this ribosomal RNA (439 nucleotides) under uncultured bacterium. RNAcentral's name for it is "bacterial SSU rRNA". It matches the Rfam family "Bacterial small subunit ribosomal RNA", at positions 340 to 773 of the family's 1533-position model. The record is from RNAcentral.
UACGGGAAGCAGCAGUGGGGAAUAUUGCACAAUGGGCGCAAGCCUGAUGCAGCCAUGCCGCGUGUAUGAAGAAGGCCUUCGGGUUGUAAAGUACUUUCAGUCGUGAGGAAGGUGUUAAGGUUAAUAACCUUAGCAAUUGACGUUAGCGACAGAAGAAGCACCGGCUAACUCCGUGCCAGCAGCCGCGGUAAUACGGAGGGUGCGAGCGUUAAUCGGAAUUACUGGGCGUAAAGGGCACGCAGGCGGUUAAUUAAGUUGGAUGUGAAAUCCCCGGGCUUAACCUGGGAAUGGCAUUCAAGACUGGUUAGCUAGAGUCUUGUAGAGGGGGUAGAAUUCCAUGUGUAGCGGUGAAAUGCGUAGAGAUGUGGAGGAAUACCGGUGGCGAAGGCGGCCCCUGGACAAAGACUGACGCUCAUGUGCGAAAGCGUGGGGAGCAAAC